Molecule: non-coding RNA, 110 nt
Filed under: Fibrocapsa japonica
Lineage: Eukaryota; Raphidophyceae; Chattonellales; Chattonellaceae
Source: RNAcentral
AAGAGAAAAGUGCAAAGGAAAAGAAAAGCACUGAUGCACUUACCUCAUCCUCAGUCUUCUUUCUUUUCUUCUUUUACUAUUUUUAUUUUCAAUCGUUUCAUAUUUCUUCU